This 1547-nucleotide ribosomal RNA is filed under the name Bouteloua dactyloides. Its description in RNAcentral is "bacterial LSU rRNA". It matches the Rfam family "Bacterial large subunit ribosomal RNA", at positions 372 to 2004 of the family's 2925-position model. The record is from RNAcentral. Lineage: Eukaryota; Viridiplantae; Streptophyta; Magnoliopsida; Poales; Poaceae.
CAUUCACUUUAAAAAUAAUUCAACUAUUGCUCAUUCCGCCUUGUGCUCUUUAAGACUCCGAAUAUGGGAGGACCAUCUUCCAAGGCUAAAUACUCCUCAAAGACCGAUAGUGAACUAGUACUGUGAAGGAAAGGUGAAAAGCAUUUCGAAUAGAAAGUUGAAAUAGAACCUGAAACCGUACGCCUACAAGCGGUCGGAGCACGUAAGUGUGACGGCGUGCCUUUUGCAUAAUGAGCCUACGAGUUAAUGUUGCUGGCAAGGUUAAGCACUUCAGGUGCGGAGCCGUAGCGAAAGCGAGUCUGAAUAGGGCGUUAGAGUCAGUAGUAUUAGACGCGAAACCUUGUGAUCUACCCAUGGGCAGGUUGAAGCUUUGGUAACACAAAGUGGAGGACCGAACCGGUUGACGUUGAAAAGUCUUCGGAUGACUUGUGGGUAGGGGUGAAAGGCCAAUCAAACUCGGAAAUAGCUCGUACUCCCCGAAAUGCAUUUAGGUGCAGCGCUGGGUAUAAGUUAUAUAGAGGUAGAGCUACUGAUUGGAUGCGGGGGCUUCACCGCCUACCAAUUCCUGACAAACUCCGAAUGCUAUAUAAUGUUUACCAGCAGUGAGGGCAUGGGUGCUAAGGUCCAUGUCCGAGAGGGAAAGAACCCAGACCAUCAGCUAAGGUCCCCAAAUGUAUGCUAAGUUGAAAAAACGAGGUUUGUCUGCCCAGACAGCUAGGAUGUUGGCUUGGAAGCAGCCAUUCAUUUAAAGAGUGCGUAACAGCUCACUAGUCGAGCGGUUCGGCAUGGAUAAUAAUCGGGCAUAAGUAUAGUACCGAAGCUAUGGAUUUAUAACUUUUGAGUUAUAUCUGGUAGGGGAGCAUUCUAUUUGCGCCGAAGCAGUAUCGUGAGGUAUUGUGGAGCGGAUAGAAAAGAAAAUGUAGGCAUAAGUAACGAUAAAGCGGGCGAGAAACCCGCUCACCGAAAGACUAAGGUUUCCUCAGCCAUGCUAAUCAGCUGAGGGUUAGUCGGGACCUAACGCGAACCCGAAAGGGGAAGUGGAUGGACAAUGGGUUAAUAUUCCCAUACUUGCUCACACUAAAAAGGGGACGGAUUUACGUACUUGCUGGAGACUGACGGAAUAGUCAAGGCCUAGCCUUCGGGCGAAGCUGCUGCAGGGAAAUAGAUUCCAAGAAAAGCCGAAGUGAAGCAACCCGUACCAAAACCGACACAGGUAGUCGAGGAGAGAAUCCUAAGGUGCUAGAGUGAAUCAUGGUUAAGGAACUAGGCAAAAUAGUCUCGUAACUUCGGAAGAAGAGACGCCAUCAGCAAUGGUGGCCGCAGUGAAGAGGCCCAGGCGACUGUUUAUCAAAAACACAGGACUCUGCUAAAUCGAAAGAUGCUGUAUAGGGUCUGACACCUGCCCGGUGCUGGAAGGUUAAGGAAGGUUGUUAGCGUAAGCGAAGCAAUUAACUGAAGCCCCAGUAAACGGCGGCCGUAACAAUAACGGUCCUAAGGUAGCGAAAUUCCUUGUCGGGUAAGUUCCGACCUGCACGGAAAUGGCGUAA